GGGUGCAAACCGUGAGGACUGUGUGAAAAAUGGGAUGAAGAAAAGAGUUCUUACAAACAGGUUGAUGGCCAUGAUGAACAUGGAUGGGACAGGGCCAAAGAAAGAAUGCCUUUGGCAAAACACAGCUCUGCCAAGUUAUAACAGGUGCUGUACAGCAGUCAGACCCAGCAUCAUCAGAGGCUGAUAUAAAAAAAGACAUCAAGAACUAUCUCCGAUCUGCUCCUGACAGAUAUGGGGGUAUGGGACACCAAAAGGGCCAAACAGC
This is a long non-coding RNA of Hemibagrus wyckioides, 265 nucleotides long. RefSeq lists it as uncharacterized. The transcript is spliced from 3 exons. Lineage: Eukaryota; Metazoa; Chordata; Actinopteri; Siluriformes; Bagridae. The record is from RefSeq and is a predicted model, not a curated record.